This 1838-nucleotide long non-coding RNA is filed under the name Parus major (Great Tit). RNAcentral describes it as "lncRNA (ENSPMJG00000010669.1)". The record is from RNAcentral. Lineage: Eukaryota; Metazoa; Chordata; Aves; Passeriformes; Paridae.
GCAGGCACAGGUGGUGACCGGGGCUCUGUUUGGGCUUCUUGCUCUCUGUCUGGAGCCAUCUGCUGCUCUCUGCUCCUGCAAAUGCAAAGGAUCCUGCAUGCAGGAGACAGCAGAGAAGCAGAAUCCUUUUGAAGUGAGUCUGAAAUUUUUCUUCCCUUUAAGUUUUAUUCCUCCGGCGUUGAGAUGAUUGAGCACGUUUUCUAAAGUCACCUAUGGAUGCUCCUCCCACAGGAUUUCCAGAGUCCACAGCAAAGAUGUAAAGAACAAACCCAAGACAAGCCUACUAAGCCCAACCUGUACUUUCUAGGUGUGCUGCAUGCUGGAGCUGUGAUCAUUAUAGUCUUGUGCAGGUUUUGUUUUAUAGGUGUAUUUACCCUCAUCAACCGCAAAUCCUUUCUGACAUUCCUACCCUGUUCCAUCCCAGUCCAAAUCCAGCUUGCUGUAAACUCUGCUGAAAAGUCUCCUUUCCGAAUUAGAAUAAGUUCUACAAAUUGUUAGCAGUCACCUCAGUUGCAUGAAGAAUUUUAACAAUAUUUGUGUGUAUUUCUGGCUUAACUAUGCCCCUUCCUAAAACUCCAUCUUUGCAAAUGAAAGAGUAAAAUAUUGCUUAACAUGCUCUGUGUAUCACAGUAAGAAGCACUUUAAGCCUGUUCUUAGAUCCUCUCAUGAAAGGGGAGUUGGCUCUAUAGAUCUAAAAUUCCUUUUAAUGUACAUUACCAGCUUGAGGACUUAUACAGCCCCAGGCACCAAGAAUUUGCUGUCUGCAUCAUAACUUCCAGAGUGAUCUCCAAUAUCACCAGUGCAGCACAAAUUCUUUCACAGCUUAAUGAAAACACAGGACAUUCCUGAUGGAAGACAGAGCAGCCACUCAGUAAAAUGUAUUUUAAACGGAAAGAUUUAUUUUAAUUGAAAUAAGAAUAUUAAUUCAGAGAUCGAUAAAGAUAGAUAGAUAGAUAGAUAGAUAGAUAGAUAGAUAGAUAGAUAGAUAGAUAGAUAGAUAGAUAGAUAAUACAUACAUGUUCCAGCAUUAAGAAACCCCUCCAAAUCUCUGUGUCCAGGUAUUUAUUUACUCUUGGCUCCACCUCACUGUGUGACGAGCAAGAAUCGCCCAUGGGCCUGAUGCAGCAGCGCCUCUUAGUGAUAGAAGUCAAUUCCUCAUUUAGCUACUUCGGGAGCAGGAAUAUUUUUUUUUCUUACCUUUCCGGUUUCUUGAUACCCAAAUCACUAACACAGCAGACAAAGAUUUUAACUUCCAGCAACUUUUGACAGUUAAAAUUAUUAUUCAAAAUACAGUUAUUGUUGUGUUUAUAGGCAUGAAUUUGCACCACAAUCUCCCUUCAGAUCAUGGGUUGACAUUUCUUGGUUUUUUUUUUUGAAUCUUUCAAUAUAUUUUCAAAAUCUGAAACACACUUUUUAACUGUUAUUAAAACAAAUUCCCAUCUUAAAUCUACUAAGGAUGCUUUUUUGAUUACAACGUGUUUGAUUUGUUGACCAGUAAAAUUUCCAAAGAGAUUGCAGACUGAGUUCUUCUUAAGUCCGGAAUUUUUUACCAGCUUAGCUGUCUGAAAUUCAAUGGAAGCCUUUUAUUUAGACACAGGUAUUGAUAUUGAAAUACAACUUUUCAAACAACCUUUGCCUCUUGCUGGGUUUCAGUCUGACAGCAUCCUUUACAAGUGUGGUGAACAGUAGCUUUUUACUGGGAGACCUAAUCAACAUGAGUGCAAAAGACUCACGAAAGUGAAAAAAAAAAGUACAAGAAGAGUGGAAGGUGCUAAGUGAAAACUCAUUUAAUUCAACAUUGUCUCUACAAUAAAAGUUGAUUCUACGUUCUUGAUGCA